This 468-nucleotide ribosomal RNA is filed under the name uncultured bacterium. RNAcentral's name for it is "partial 16S ribosomal RNA". It matches the Rfam family "Bacterial small subunit ribosomal RNA", at positions 28 to 507 of the family's 1533-position model. The record is from RNAcentral.
GACGAACGCUGGCGGCGUGCUUAACACAUGCAAGUCGAACGGAAAGGCCCUGCUUUUGUGGGGUGCUCGAGUGGCGAACGGGUGAGUAACACGUGAGUAACCUGCCCUUGACUUUGGGAUAACUUCAGGAAACUGGGGCUAAUACCGGAUAGGAGCUCCUGCUGCAUGGUGGGGGUUGGAAAGUUUCGGCGGUUGGGGAUGGACUCGCGGCUUAUCAGCUUGUUGGUGGGGUAGUGGCUUACCAAGGCUUUGACGGGUAGGCGGCCUGAGAGGGUGAACGGCCACAUUGGGACUGAGAUACGGCGCAGACUCCUACGGGACGCAGCAGUGGGGAAUAUUGCACAAUGGGCGGAAGCCUGAUGCAGCAACGCCGCGUGCGGGAUGACGGCCUUCGGGUUGUAAACCGCUUUCGCCUGUGACGAAGCGUGAGUGACGGUAAUGGGUAAAGAAGCACCGGCUAACUACGUG